GGGGAAUAUUGGACAAUGGGGGGAACCCUGAUCCAGCCAUGCCGCGUGUGUGAAGAAGGCCUUAUGGUUGUAAAGCACUUUAAGCGAGGAGGAGGCUCUUUUGGUUAAUACCCAAGAUGAGUGGACGUUACUCGCAGAAUAAGCACCGGCUAACUCUGUGCCAGCAGCCGCGGUAAUACAGAGGGUGCGAGCGUUAAUCGGAUUUACUGGGGUAAAGCGUGCGUAGGCGGCUUUUUAAGUCGGAUGUGAAAUCCCCGAGCUUAACUUGGGAAUUGCAAUCGGAACUGGGAAGGUAGAGGAUGGGAGAGGAUGGGAGAAAUCCAGGUGUAGCCGUGAAAUGCGUAGAGAUCUGGAGGAAUACCGAUGGCGAAGGCAGCCAUCUGGGCUAAUACUGACGCUGAGGUACGAAAGCAUGGGGAGCAAACA
RNAcentral lists this ribosomal RNA (426 nucleotides) under uncultured Acinetobacter sp. RNAcentral's name for it is "bacterial SSU rRNA". It matches the Rfam family "Bacterial small subunit ribosomal RNA", at positions 356 to 774 of the family's 1533-position model. Lineage: Bacteria; Pseudomonadati; Pseudomonadota; Gammaproteobacteria; Moraxellales; Moraxellaceae. The record is from RNAcentral.